GAAACGACUGCUAAGACUGGAUAGGAGAUAAGAAGGCAUCUUCUUAUUUUUAAAAGACCUAGUAAUAGGUAUGCUUAAGGAAGGGCUUGCGUCACAUUAGUUAGUUGGUAGGGUAAAGGCCUACCAAGACGAUGAUGUGUAGCCGGGCUGAGAGGCUGAACGGCCACAUUGGAACUGAGACACGGUCCAAACUCCUACGGGAGGCAGCAGUAGGGAAUUUUCGGCAAUGGAGGAAACUCUGACCGAGCAACGCCGCGUGAACGAUGAAGUAUUUCGGUACGUAAAGUUCUUUUAUUAAGGAAGAAAAGAUGGUGGAAAAACCAUUAUGACGGUACUUAAUGAAUAAGCCCCGGCUAACUAUGUGCCAGCAGCCGCGGUAAUACAUAGGGGGCAAGCGUUAUCCGGAAUUAUUGGGCGUAAAGGGUGCGUAGGCGGUUUAAUAAGUUUAUGGUCUAAGUGCAAUGCUUAACAUUGUGAUGCUAUAAAAACUGUUUGACUAGAGUUGGAUAGAGGCAAGUGGAAUUCCAUGUGUAGUGGUAAAAUGCGUAAAUAUAUGGAGGAACACCAUGAGCGAAGGCGGCUUGCUGGGUCUUAACUGACGCUGAGGCACGAAAGCGUGGGGAGCAAACAGGAUUAGAUACCCUGGUAGUCCACGCUGUAAACGAUGAGUACUAGACGUUGGGUUAAACCAGUGUCGAAGUUAACACAUUAAGUACUCCGCCUGAGUAGUACGUACGCAAGUAUGAAACUUAAAGGAAUUGACGGGACUCCGCACAAGCGGUGGAUCAUGUUGUUUAAUUCGAAGAUACCCGAAAAACCUCACCAGGUCUUGACAUGCUUCUGCAAAGCUGUAGAAAUACAGUGGAGGUUAUCAGUUGUACAGGUGGUGCAUGGUUGUCGUCAGCUCGUGUCGUGAGAUGUUGGGUUAAGUCCCGCAACGAGCGCAACCCUUGUUGUUAAUUGCCAUCAUUAAGUUGGGGACUUUAGCAAGACUGCCAGUGAUAAAUUGGAGGAAGGUGGGGAUGACGUCAAAUCAUCAUGCCCCUUAUGACCUGGGCUACAAACGUGAUACAAUGGCUGUUACAAAGGGUAGCUGAAGCGCAAGUUUUUGGCAAAUCUCAAAAAAACAGUCUCAGUUCGGAUUGAAGUCUGCAACUCGACUUCAUGAAGUUGGAAUCGCUAGUAAUCGCGAAUCAGCAUGUCGCGGUGAAUACGUUCGCGGGGUUUGUACACACCGCCCGUCA
RNAcentral lists this ribosomal RNA (1244 nucleotides) under 'Fragaria x ananassa' phyllody phytoplasma. Its description in RNAcentral is "bacterial SSU rRNA". It matches the Rfam family "Bacterial small subunit ribosomal RNA", at positions 153 to 1399 of the family's 1533-position model. Lineage: Bacteria; Bacillati; Mycoplasmatota; Mollicutes; Acholeplasmatales; Acholeplasmataceae. The record is from RNAcentral.